AUGAACCAUUCAUGGAGCAAGCAUUUCACGGUCAUACACUCAUCAACUCCACAUACAAGAGUACCACCCAUUAAUAGCCUCUGUUCCCCGGCGAUGAUGACCAAGUACAUGAGGAACAAUGUGCAAGGACUUGUGCUACUUUCUUUUCUUCUUGUGGUGUGUUUGACUUGUCUUGGAGGCACAUAUGGUGAAAUCAUAAAUGACAAGCGGAGCAACAUGAUGAGGAAAGUAAGCCAUGUAACGAGACCCCCUUGUUAUAAAGAUGGGCACCAACUCCCCGGACGAGAAUUCUGCUGUAAAAUAGAUAACUUGUGCUGGGCAAAUCUCGGAGAAUGCUUCAUCAACUGUCCAUGCAAGAUUAAUUGCACACCAGCAGCAGCAGCAACACAAUAG
Molecule: ribosomal RNA, 393 nt
Filed under: Triticum aestivum (bread wheat)
Lineage: Eukaryota; Viridiplantae; Streptophyta; Magnoliopsida; Poales; Poaceae
Description: partial small subunit ribosomal RNA
Source: RNAcentral